AUUGAACGCUGGCGGCAGGCCUAACACAUGCAAGUCGAGCGGAUGAAGGGAGCUUGCUCCUGGAUUCAGCGGCGGACGGGUGAGUAAUGCCUAGGAAUCUGCCUGGCAGUGGGGGAUAACGUCCGGAAACGGGCGCUAAUACCGCAUACGUCCUGAGGUAGAACGUGGGGGAUCUUCGGACCUCACGCUAUCAGAUGAGCCUAGGUCGGAUUAGCUAGUUGGUGGGGUAAAGGCCUACCAAGGCGACGAUCCGUAGCUGGUCUGAGAGGAUGAUCAGUCACACUGGAACUGAGACACGGUCCAGACUCCUACGGGAGGCAGCAGUGGGGAAUAUUGGGCAAUGGGCGAAAGCCUGAUCCAGCAAUGCCGCGUGAGUGAAGAAGGUCUUCGGAUUGUAAAGCACUUUAAGUUGGGAGGAAGGGCAGUAAGUUAAUACCUUGCUGUUUUGACGUUACCAACAGAAUAAGCACCGGCUAACUUCGUG
This 484-nucleotide ribosomal RNA is filed under the name uncultured bacterium. RNAcentral's name for it is "partial 16S ribosomal RNA". It matches the Rfam family "Bacterial small subunit ribosomal RNA", at positions 30 to 507 of the family's 1533-position model. The record is from RNAcentral.